Molecule: long non-coding RNA, 253 nt
Filed under: Trifolium pratense (red clover)
Lineage: Eukaryota; Viridiplantae; Streptophyta; Magnoliopsida; Fabales; Fabaceae
Description: long non-coding RNA (TPRA_LNC005352)
Source: RNAcentral
GUUGGUCAUAUACUUGACUAGGGUGCACCAUCAAAGGGAAACAGUUUCAUUGACACAGUUUAUAAGCAUGCUGUAGAAGAGAUCUCAUUACAAUAAACACAAAUUUGGAAAGAGUGGAGAACAAGGAUGACAUAGAUGUUGCAAACGAGGUAAUUUGAGCUUCUCGACAUUUGAUUCUCAUGUGCUGAUUUUGUUAAGAGAUGAUUUCUUUGUGCCUUACUUAUUUUCAUUAAUCUUCAUGAACCUUGUCACA